UGCAAAUUGCAGGGGAACCGUAUGGUUGAGAAGGCUAAAACCUGACCCUUUGAACCUGUUUGUUAAUACAAUCGUAGGGAGCAAUAAACCACACCGG
This 97-nucleotide non-coding RNA is filed under the name Veillonellaceae bacterium DNF00626. RNAcentral's name for it is "TPP riboswitch aptamer (THI element)". It matches the Rfam family "TPP riboswitch aptamer (THI element)". From Rfam's summary of the family: Vitamin B(1) in its active form thiamin pyrophosphate (TPP) is an essential coenzyme that is synthesised by coupling of pyrimidine and thiazole moieties in bacteria. The previously detected thiamin-regulatory element, thi box was extended, resulting in a new, highly conserved RNA secondary structure, the THI element, which is widely distributed in eubacteria and also occurs in some archaea. Analysis of operon structures identified a large number of new candidate thiamin-regulated genes, mostly transporters, in various prokaryotic organisms. Lineage: Bacteria; Bacillati; Bacillota; Negativicutes; Veillonellales; Veillonellaceae. RNAcentral also lists the same sequence under 1 other name. The record is from Rfam by way of RNAcentral.